GACGAACGCUGGCGGCGUGCUUAACACAUGCAAGUCGAACGAUGAAGCCUUUCGGGGUGGAUUAGUGGCGAACGGGUGAGUAACACGUGGGCAAUCUGCCCUGUACUUUGGGAUAAGCCUUGGAAACGGGGUCUAAUACCGGAUAUGACUGGCCUUCGCAUGGGGUUGGUUGAAAGUUACUGGCGGUACAGGAUGAGCCCGCGGCCUAUCAGCUUGUUGGUGGGGUAAUGGCCUACCAAGGCGACGACGGGUAGCCGGCCUGAGAGGGCGACCGGCCACACUGGGACUGAGACACGGCCCACGACUCCUA
This 310-nucleotide ribosomal RNA is filed under the name uncultured bacterium. RNAcentral's name for it is "bacterial SSU rRNA". It matches the Rfam family "Bacterial small subunit ribosomal RNA", at positions 28 to 341 of the family's 1533-position model. The record is from RNAcentral.